RNAcentral lists this ribosomal RNA (460 nucleotides) under uncultured bacterium. RNAcentral describes it as "partial 16S ribosomal RNA". It matches the Rfam family "Bacterial small subunit ribosomal RNA", at positions 338 to 795 of the family's 1533-position model. The record is from RNAcentral.
CCUACGGGUGACAGCAGUGAGGAAUAUUGGUCAAUGGACGAGAGUCUGAACCAGCCAAGUAGCGUGAAGGAUGACUGCCCUAUGGGUUGUAAACUUCUUUUAUAUGGGAAUAAAACGUUCCACGUGUGGGAUUUUGUAUGUACCAUAUGAAUAAGGAUCGGCUAACUCCGUGCCAGCAGCCGCGGUAAUACGGAGGAUCCGAGCGUUAUCCGGAUUUAUUGGGUUUAAAGGGAGCGUAGGUGGAUUGUUAAGUCAGUUGUGAAAGUUUGCGGCUCAACCGUAAAAUUGCAGUUGAAACUGGCAGUCUUGAGUACAGUAGAGGUGAGCGGAAUUCGUGGUGUAGCGGUGAAAUGCUUAGAUAUCACGAAGAACUCCGAUUGCGAAGGCAGUUCACUGGACUGCAACUGACACUGAGGCUCGAAAGUGUGGGUAUCAAACAGGAUUAGAUACCCUGGUAGUC